CGUGCACUCCGGGCCAGUAGCCUGGGCAAUGCGGAGGGUGUGGGCUGUAAGCGGAAGUACUGGUCGGAAAGCGUGCGUAGGCGGUCCCGCAAGUCCGCUGUGAAAGCCCCGAGCUCAACUUGGGAACUGCAGUGGAAACUAUGGGACUUGAAUCCGGCAGAGGGGGGUGGAAUGCCACGUGUAGCAGUGAAAUGCGUAGAGAUGUGGCGGAACACCGAUGGCGAAGGCAGCCCCCUGGGCUGAGAUUGACGCUCAGGCACGAAAGCGUGGGGAGCAAACAGGAUUAGAUACCCGUGUAGUC
Molecule: ribosomal RNA, 301 nt
Filed under: uncultured Methanocella sp.
Lineage: Archaea; Methanobacteriati; Methanobacteriota; Methanomicrobia; Methanocellales; Methanocellaceae
Description: bacterial SSU rRNA
Rfam family: Bacterial small subunit ribosomal RNA
Source: RNAcentral